CCAAGAGCAAAGGGAGAGAGCAGAAGAGAUGGAAUAUCCCAUUCUACACAUUAUUUUCCUAUUAAAGGCAAAGCCCUGUGAACAGAAGAUGCUGCUUCUCUCACUAUCCCUUCUCCUGAUAAGGAAAUCAGAAAAGGACAGCAGAAGGAGUUUAUGACAAAUACAAUUGCUGGAUUCAAUCACACCUUUGGUUCAUACCUCCAUUGUGUGAACAACAAUGAUGUCAGUGCAUUGGGGCUUCGUAAAGACAAUGUCUGUGACAUCCAGACUUGCCAGUACUUGUUUGGUAUUAUGGACUAACAUGCACUCAGCUGGUCCCAUCCCAACCACCACUAAACCCUCACUAGGGACCAGUGCAGGUCUACAGAAG
Mauremys mutica (yellowpond turtle) is the source of this 370-nucleotide long non-coding RNA. RefSeq lists it as uncharacterized. The transcript has 4 exons. NCBI's taxonomy places the organism in Eukaryota, Metazoa, Chordata, Testudines, Geoemydidae. The record is from RefSeq and is a predicted model, not a curated record.